This 253-nucleotide ribosomal RNA is filed under the name uncultured bacterium. RNAcentral describes it as "partial 16S ribosomal RNA". It matches the Rfam family "Bacterial small subunit ribosomal RNA", at positions 524 to 776 of the family's 1533-position model. The record is from RNAcentral.
UACGGAGGGUGCAAGCGUUAAUCGGAAUUACUGGGCGUAAAGCGCACGCAGGCGGUCUGUUAAGUCAGAUGUGAAAUCCCCGGGCUUAACCUGGGAACUGCAUUGGAAACUGGCAAGCUUGAGUCCCGUAGAGGGGGGUAGAAUUCCAGGUGUAGCGGUGAAAUGCGUAGAGAUCUGGAGGAAUACCGGUGGCGAAGGCGGCCCCCUGGACGAAGACUGACGCUCAGGUGCGAAAGCGUGGGGAGCAAACAGG